GCGCCCAUAGCUCAGAUGGAUAGAGCAGCGACCUUCUAAGUCGUUGGUCGGGUGUUCGAGUCACCCUGGGCGCG
Molecule: transfer RNA, 74 nt
Filed under: Vulcanimicrobiota bacterium
Lineage: Bacteria; Bacillati; Vulcanimicrobiota
Description: tRNA-Arg
Rfam family: tRNA
About the family: Transfer RNA (tRNA) molecules are approximately 80 nucleotides in length. Their secondary structure includes four short double-helical elements and three loops (D, anti-codon, and T loops).
Source: RNAcentral